This 277-nucleotide ribosomal RNA is filed under the name uncultured Negativibacillus sp. RNAcentral describes it as "partial 16S ribosomal RNA". It matches the Rfam family "Bacterial small subunit ribosomal RNA", at positions 511 to 788 of the family's 1533-position model. Lineage: Bacteria; Bacillati; Bacillota. The record is from RNAcentral.
GCAGCCGCGGUAAUACGGAGGAUGCGAGCGUUAUCCGGAUUUAUUGGGUUUAAAGGGUGCGUAGGCGGGGUGUUAAGUCAGCGGUAAAAUUGAGGGGCUCAACCCCUUCGAGCCGUUGAAACUGGCAUUCUUGAGUGAAUGAGAAGUAUGCGGAAUGCGUGGUGUAGCGGUGAAAUGCAUAGAUAUCACGCAGAACUCCGAUUGCGAAGGCAGCAUACCGGCAUUCAACUGACGCUGAAGCACGAAAGCGUGGGGAUCAAACAGGAUUAGAUACCCC